RNAcentral lists this unclassified non-coding RNA (173 nucleotides) under Patiria miniata (bat star). RNAcentral describes it as "serpin B6-like, transcript variant X2". Lineage: Eukaryota; Metazoa; Echinodermata; Asteroidea; Valvatida; Asterinidae. The record is from RNAcentral.
CUUCAACUAUCGUCUUGUGUGACUGCGCCCAGGCAGAACUUUUCAGAUUAUCAUAUCGCCCAAUCUACUGAUACCAUGGCAACCCACGUUUCAGAUGUCGGUCUGGUUCAAAAUGCUGCCAAGGUUACUAACACCUUUGCAUCUAAUCUCUUCCGAGUGUUGACUGAGGGAGG